AAGAAAUCAACCGAGAUUCCCAAAGUAGUGGCGAGCGAAAUGGGAUGAGCCUUGCACUCUUUAUUUGUAUUGUUAGCCGACGCUCUGGAAAGUGCGGCCAUAGCAGGUGAUAGCCCUGUAGGCGAAAACAGUAUGAAAGAACUAGGUGUGCGACAAGUAGGGCGGGACACGUGAAAUCCUGUCUGAAGAUGGGGGGGACCAUCCUCCAAGGCUAAAUACUCGUGAUCGACCCGAUAGUGAACCAGUACCGUGAGGGAAAGGCGAAAAGAACCCCGGGAGGGGAGUGAAAUAGAUCCUGAAACCGCAUGCAUACAAACAGUCGGAGCCUCGUAAGGGGUGACGGCGUACCUUUUGUAAAUGGGUCAGCGACUUACGUUCAGUAGCAAGCUUAACCGUAUAGGGCAGGCGUAGCGAAAGCGAGUCCGAAUAGGGCGUUCAGUUGCUGGGGCGUAGACCCGAAACCAGGUGAUCUAUCCAUGGCCAGGAUGAAGGUGCGGUAACACGUACUGGAGGUCCGAACCCACUAACGUUGAAAAGUUAGGGGAUGAGCUGUGGAUAGGGGUGAAGGCUAAAGCAAACAAACCUGGAAAUAGCUGGUUCUCUCCGAAAACUAUUUAGGUAGUGCCUCGUGUCUCACCUUCGGGGUAGAGCACUGUCAUGGUUGGGGGUCUAUUGCAGAUUACCCCGCCAUAGCAAACUCCGAAUACCGAAGAGUGCAAUCACGGGAGACAGACAUCGGGUGCUAACGUCCGGUGUCAAGAGGGAAACAACCCAGACCGCAGCUAAGGUCCCCAAAUAUAGCUAAGUGGGAAACGAAGUGGGAAGGCUAAAACAGUCAGGAGGUUGGCUUAGAAGCAGCCACCCUUUAAAGAAAGCGUAAUAGCUCACUGAUCGAGUCGUCCUGCGCGGAAGAUGUAACGGGGCUAAGCGUAUAUACCCGAAGCUGCGGAUGCGAGCUUGCUCGCAUGGUAGGAGAGCGUUCCGUAAGCCUGCGAAGGUGCCUUGUAAAGGGUGCUGGGAGGUAUCGGAAGUGCGAAUGCUGACAUGAGUAGCGAUAAAGGGGGUGAAAGGCCCCUCGCCGUAAGCCCAAGGUUUCCUACGCAACGUUCAUCGGCGUAGGGUGAGUCGGCCCCUAAGGCGAGGCAGAAAUGCGUAGCUGAUGGGAAGCAGGUCAAUAUUCCUGCACAUUGUUAGAUGCGAUGGGGGGACGGAUCGCGGAAGGUUGUCCGGGUGUUGGAAGUCCCGGUCGCUGCAUUGGAGAAGGCGCUUAGGCAAAUCCGGGCGCAGAUUCAAGGGUGUGGCGCGAGCUCCUUAGGGAGCGAAGCAAUUGGAAGUGGUUCCAAGAAAAGCCUCUAAGCUUCAGUCUAACGAUGACCGUACCGCAAACCGACACAGGUGGGCGAGAUGAGUAUUCUAAGGCGCUUGAGAGAACUCGGGAGAAGGAACUCGGCAAAUUGGUACCGUAACUUCGGGAUAAGGUACGCCCUUGUAGCUUGACUGGCCUGCGCCAGGAGGGUGAAGGGGUUGCAAUAAACUGGUGGCUGCGACUGUUUAAUAAAAACACAGCACUCUGCAAACACGAAAGUGGACGUAUAGGGUGUGACGCCUGCCCGGUGCCGGAAGAUUAAAUGAUGGGGUGCAAGCUCUUGAUUGAAGUCCCGGUAAACGGCGGCCGUAACUAUAACGGUCCUAAGGUAGCGAAAUUCCUUGUCGGGUAAGUUCCGACCUGCACGAAUGGCGUAACGAUGGCCACACUGUCUCCUCCCGAGACUCAGCGAAGUUGAAGUGUUUGUGAUGAUGCAAUCUACCCGCGGCUAGACGGAAAGACCCCAUGAACCUUUACUGUAGCUUUGCAUUGGACUUUGAACCGAUCUGUGUAGGAUAGGUGGGAGGCUAUGAAACCGGAACGCUAGUUUCGGUGGAGCCGUCCUUGAAAUACCACCCUGGUUUGUUUGAGGUUCUAACCUUGGCCCGUGAUCCGGGUCGGGGACAGUGCAUGGUAGGCAGUUUGACUGGGGCGGUCUCCUCCCAAAGCGUAACGGAGGAGUACGAAGGUACGCUAGGUACGGUCGGAAAUCGUGCUGAUAGUGCAAUGGCAUAAGCGUGCUUAACUGCGAGACCGACAAGUCGAGCAGGUGCGAAAGCAGGUCAUAGUGAUCCGGUGGUUCUGUAUGGAAGGGCCAUCGCUCAACGGAUAAAAGGUACUCUGGGGAUAACAGGCUGAUACCGCCCAAGAGUUCAUAUCGACGGCGGUGUUUGGCACCUCGAUGUCGGCUCAUCUCAUCCUGGGGCUGUAGCCGGUCCCAAGGGUAUGGCUGUUCGCCAUUUAAAGAGGUACGUGAGCUGGGUUUAAAACGUCGUGAGACAGUUUGGUCCCUAUCUGCCGUGGGCGUUGGAUAUUUGAAGGGGGCUGCUCCUAGUACGAGAGGACCGGAGUGGACGAACCUCUGGUGUACCGGUUGUCACGCCAGUGGCAUCGCCGGGUAGCUAUGUUCGGAAGA
Molecule: ribosomal RNA, 2501 nt
Filed under: Burkholderia cenocepacia K56-2Valvano
Lineage: Bacteria; Pseudomonadati; Pseudomonadota; Betaproteobacteria; Burkholderiales; Burkholderiaceae
Description: bacterial LSU rRNA
Rfam family: Bacterial large subunit ribosomal RNA
Source: RNAcentral